UUUUCUUCAAGAGCACAUAUUCCCUAAAACUGAAAUGAAAUAGAGAAGAUUACCAUUGCCCCUGUAUAAAAAUAAUUGAAUCAUGAAGCAUGCCAUUUUUUC
Leptonychotes weddellii (Weddell seal) is the source of this 102-nucleotide small nuclear RNA. The record is from RefSeq and is a predicted model, not a curated record. NCBI's taxonomy places the organism in Eukaryota, Metazoa, Chordata, Mammalia, Carnivora, Phocidae.